This 700-nucleotide long non-coding RNA is filed under the name Actinia tenebrosa (Australian red waratah sea anemone). Its description in RNAcentral is "uncharacterized LOC116306497, transcript variant X1". The record is from RNAcentral. Lineage: Eukaryota; Metazoa; Cnidaria; Anthozoa; Actiniaria; Actiniidae.
CUCAAAAUGGCGGAUCCUGUUAGUCAUUUGACCUAUGUUUUUAAAAAAUGAAAAUAUCUCUGCCUUUUCGAAGGAAAAUCGGGUAAAAAACACUACACAAACGACAAACAAAGAACAAAAAAUAUUCUGGACUUCAUUCACAUUCGGAGGCCAGUUGAAAUGACAUCAGACAACUGUCUUCCAUGGUUGCCCAGAAUACGGUUAGGUGCUACAGAACUGACAGUUGGAGCAUUUAGACAGUCCAUAUUUUGCCCCCCUUCCGUAGAAUCUUCACUGCUUAACGAUGGAGUUCUUGGUCUGUGUGGUUUCAUGGAUUCUAUACUGUUCAAUGGUAAAACGGGGUCUGAUUGCGAGUGCUUUGGAGGCCAAUGAGAUAUAUCUUCAGGUGCUACAGCUGUACUAGCGGGUAGAGCAAAAAAUGAUAUUCCAAACACUGCGAAUAAUGCAGCACAGAAUCUGCCAUACCACGUGAUGGGAGUCUUGUCACCAUAGCCGAUUGUUGUCAAAGUUACCUGGUGAAGCAAACAGGACUUAAUACAACAAGGCUGACCUCUGGUUGUUAGUGAUCAAUACACUACCAUAAACAUGUCUUUCUGAUAAGAAUCUUAAGUGGCUGUCUUUCAGCAUAACAAGAAUGUUUGAAACAGCAGAAAUUUAAUGUCACUAAACAAGACAAAGAAAGACACUUUUCAGGUAAAAC